UACGGAGGAUGCGAGCGUUAUCCGGAUUUAUUGGGUUUAAAGGGUGCGCAGGCGGCGUGUCAAGUCGGCGGUAAAAUGUCGGGGCUCAACCCCGGCCGGCCGUUGAAACUGGCGUGCUCGAGUUGGAGAGAAGUAUGCGGAAUUCGUGGUGUAGCGGUGAAAUGCAUAGAUAUCACGAAGAACCCUGAUUGCGAAGGCAGCAUACCGGCUCCACACUGACGCUGAGGCACGAAAGCGUGGGUAUCAAACAGG
This 252-nucleotide ribosomal RNA is filed under the name uncultured bacterium. Its description in RNAcentral is "partial 16S ribosomal RNA". It matches the Rfam family "Bacterial small subunit ribosomal RNA", at positions 524 to 776 of the family's 1533-position model. The record is from RNAcentral.